RNAcentral lists this ribosomal RNA (492 nucleotides) under uncultured bacterium. Its description in RNAcentral is "partial 16S ribosomal RNA". It matches the Rfam family "Bacterial small subunit ribosomal RNA", at positions 29 to 507 of the family's 1533-position model. The record is from RNAcentral.
AGUGAACGCUGGCGGUGGGCCUAAUACAUGCAAGUCGAACGGCAGCACGGUAAGCUCUUGCUUUUACCGUUGGCGGCUGGCGGGCGGGUGAGGCGUACAUCAGCAUCUUCUUUGUCGUGGGGGAUUACGUGGGGAAACUGCCGCUAAUACCUCAUAUUACCUACGGGUGAAAGCAGUAGUUCUUCAUAGCUUGCGCGUUUGAAUUAGCUGAUGUCGGAUUAGCUAGUUGGCGUGGUAACGGCCCACCAAGGCGACGCUCCGUAGCUGGUCUGAGAGGAUGAUCAGCCACACUGGAACUGAGACACGGUCCAGACUCCUACGGGAGGCAGCAGUGGGGAAUCUUGGACAAUGGGCGAAAGCCUGACGGAGCAAUGCCGCGUGAGUGAAGAAGGCCUUCGGGUUGUAAAGCCCUUUUGUUAGGAAAGAAAAGACGCAGGAUAAUACCUGGAUGUUCUGACGGUACCCAAAGAGAAAGCAACGGCUAACUUCGUG